GCUGGGCGUGGUGGCACGUGCCUGCAGUCCCAGCUACUCGGGAGGCUGAGGUGGAAGGAUCGCUUGAGCCCAGGAGUUCUGGGCUGUAGUGCGCUAUGCCGAUUGGGUGCCCGCACUAAGUUCAGCAUCAAUAUGGUGACCUCCUGGGAGCGGGGGACCACCAGGUUACCUAAGGAGGGGUGAACCGGCCCAGGUCAGAAACGGAACAUGUCAAAACUCCCAUGCUGAUCAGUCGUGGGAUCGCGCCUGUGAAUAGCCACUACACUCCAACCAGGGCAACAUAGUGAUACCCCGUCUCU
Molecule: signal recognition particle RNA, 299 nt
Filed under: Aotus nancymaae (Ma's night monkey)
Lineage: Eukaryota; Metazoa; Chordata; Mammalia; Primates; Aotidae
Description: Metazoan signal recognition particle RNA (ENSANAG00000012200.1)
Rfam family: Metazoan signal recognition particle RNA
About the family: The signal recognition particle (SRP) is a universally conserved ribonucleoprotein. It is involved in the co-translational targeting of proteins to membranes.
Source: RNAcentral